AGAAUCAACGCUGGCGGCGUGCCUAACACAUGCAAGUCGAACGAGAAAGUGGAGCAAUCCAUGAGUAAAGUGGCGCACGGGUGAGUAACACGUGACUAACCUACCCUUGAGUGGGGAAUAACUGAGGGAAACCUCGGCUAAUACCGCAUAAUACCUACGGGUCAAAGGAGCAAUUCGCUUAAGGAGGGGGUCGCGGCAGAUUAGUUAGUUGGCGGGGUAAUGGCCCACCAAGACGGUGAUCUGUAUCCGGCCUGAGAGGGCGCACGGACACACUGGAACUGAAACACGGUCCAGACUCCUACGGGAGGCAGCAGUGGGAAUUUUGCGCAAUGGGGGAAACCCUGACGCAGCAACGCCGCGUGGAGGAUGAAGACCCUUGGGUCGUAAACUCCUUUCGAUCGGGACGAUUAUGACGGUACCGGAGAAGAAGCCCGGCUAACUUCGUGCCAGCAGCCGC
This 457-nucleotide ribosomal RNA is filed under the name uncultured bacterium. RNAcentral's name for it is "SSU rRNA". It matches the Rfam family "Bacterial small subunit ribosomal RNA", at positions 26 to 518 of the family's 1533-position model. The record is from RNAcentral.